UGCUGAGCUGGAGAAGCUCCAGCAGUCAGUGGCUGAAGCAGAGCAGAGGCUGCUGGCUCUGCAGCAGCAGCUGCAGAGCGCACAGGGCGAGGAGACACACCUGCAGACCGUCCGCCACAUGUCCGUGUUGACCGAAUUGAGCAGCGUGGGGAGCAACUGCAUCCUCGCAGGCAACACUUCGUCUAGCAGUUCGAGG
Rhipicephalus sanguineus (brown dog tick) is the source of this 196-nucleotide long non-coding RNA. RefSeq lists it as uncharacterized. Lineage: Eukaryota; Metazoa; Arthropoda; Arachnida; Ixodida; Ixodidae. The transcript has 3 exons. The record is from RefSeq and is a predicted model, not a curated record.